UACAGAGGGUGCGAGCGUUGUUCGGAAUCAUUGGGCGUAAAGCGCGCGUAGGCGGCUUUGCAAGUCGGAUGUGAAAGCCCUGGGCUCAACCCAGGAAGUGCAUUCGAAACUGCAUGGCUUGAGUUCCGGAGAGGGUGGUGGAAUUCCGAGUGUAGAGGUGAAAUUCGUAGAUAUUCGGAGGAACACCAGUGGCGAAGGCGACCACCUGGACGAGAACUGACGCUGAGGUGCGAAAGCGUGGGGAGCAAAC
RNAcentral lists this ribosomal RNA (250 nucleotides) under uncultured bacterium. RNAcentral's name for it is "partial 16S ribosomal RNA". It matches the Rfam family "Bacterial small subunit ribosomal RNA", at positions 524 to 773 of the family's 1533-position model. The record is from RNAcentral.